CAGCAGCCACGGGAAUACGUAGGGUGCGAGCGUUAAUCGGAAUUACUGGGCGUAAAGCGUGCGCAGGCGGUUCGUUAAGACAGAUGUGAAAUCCCCGGGCUUAACCUGGGAACUGCAUUUGUGACUGGCGAGCUAGAGUAUGGCAGAGGGGGGUAGAAUUCCACGUGUAGCAGUGAAAUGCGUAGAGAUGUGGAGGAAUACCGAUGGCGAAGGCAGCCCCCUGGGCCAAUACUGACGCUCAUGCACGAAAGCGUGGGGAGCAAACAGGAUUAGAUACCCCCGUAGUCCCUGUCUCUUAUAC
RNAcentral lists this ribosomal RNA (301 nucleotides) under uncultured bacterium. RNAcentral's name for it is "partial 16S ribosomal RNA". It matches the Rfam family "Bacterial small subunit ribosomal RNA", at positions 509 to 807 of the family's 1533-position model. The record is from RNAcentral.